Long non-coding RNA from Schistocerca nitens (vagrant locust), 300 nucleotides. RefSeq lists it as uncharacterized. The transcript has 3 exons. The record is from RefSeq and is a predicted model, not a curated record. NCBI's taxonomy places the organism in Eukaryota, Metazoa, Arthropoda, Insecta, Orthoptera, Acrididae.
GUGCAAGUGCGACAUACUGUGAUUCAGAGACAUUGUUAUGUGUUAUUCAGAUGCUGUACUUUAUUCAAUUAAUGUUGACAAGAAGCCAACUGGAGCUACGAAAGAAGAGGAAUGGAAAUUUUCACCAUGGAAUGGCAGCAGUAAAGCAGAUUAAACAACGGUACCAGAACUGCUACAAAUUCGUCGGGCAAUACACCGCGCCGCUCGAACUGUCAACACAACUGGCACUGCUAAGAGUAUCCUACAACUUCCACAUCGCUGGCAACAGGUUAUACACAAUGCUGGUGACUACUUUGAAGG